Sorex fumeus (smoky shrew) is the source of this 124-nucleotide small nucleolar RNA. RefSeq annotates it as small nucleolar RNA ACA64. NCBI's taxonomy places the organism in Eukaryota, Metazoa, Chordata, Mammalia, Eulipotyphla, Soricidae. The record is from RefSeq and is a predicted model, not a curated record. The transcript has a single exon.
ACCCGCUGAAAGUCACCCGUGGCCUCGCCUGUGGCGAUGGGUGAGAUUUGGCGCCCAGAGCACAGGGGCUUCAGCUCAUGGUCCACUUCUGGUGUGGGGAGGUGAAACCCAGGCCCCGACAACG